GACCUCAUGGUCUAAUGGUUAUGACGCUGGGCUUUCAAUCCAGAAGCGGGAGUUCGAUUCUCCCUGAGGUUA
This 72-nucleotide transfer RNA is filed under the name Anaerolineales bacterium. RNAcentral describes it as "tRNA-Glu". It matches the Rfam family "tRNA". From Rfam's summary of the family: Transfer RNA (tRNA) molecules are approximately 80 nucleotides in length. Their secondary structure includes four short double-helical elements and three loops (D, anti-codon, and T loops). Lineage: Bacteria; Bacillati; Chloroflexota; Anaerolineae; Anaerolineales. The record is from RNAcentral.